UCUCGCCGGGGGCCCGCGCCCGUCCUGCCGCCCCCCGCCCGGACGGGGUGCAGGCAGGCGGGGAAACUAUCUUCAUAUGCACGCAGGGUGCGAUGGUGGGACUCCCGAGUGCAGUCUAUCCCAAACGGGACGGCCGCUUUUCUGCACUUUAAGCAGUUGCCCGAAACAAGGGGUGGGGCAAGACGGCUGCCAGCCGCCGCGGUAAUAGCCGCACCCCGAGUAGUAGUCAUUGUUAUUGGGCUUAAAGUGUUCGUAGCCGCACACACAAGUCUGCUGUGAAAUCCAUGCGCUUAACGUAUGGACAUGCAGCGGAUACUGUGUGUCUAGGAACCGGACGGCGUCGAGGCUAUUCCCGGGGUAGGGGUGAAAUCCUAAAAUCCUGAGAGGAGCACCUGUGGCGAAAGCGCUCGACGAGUACGGAUUCGACGGUGAGGAACGAAAGCCAGUGGAGCAAAGCGGAUUAGAUACCCGCGUAGUACUGGCUGUAAACA
Molecule: ribosomal RNA, 491 nt
Filed under: uncultured haloarchaeon
Lineage: Archaea; Methanobacteriati; Methanobacteriota; Halobacteria; Halobacteriales; Halobacteriaceae
Description: bacterial SSU rRNA
Rfam family: Archaeal small subunit ribosomal RNA
Source: RNAcentral